Molecule: transfer RNA, 78 nt
Filed under: Hafnia phage vB_HpaM_SarahDanielle
Lineage: Duplodnaviria; Heunggongvirae; Uroviricota; Caudoviricetes; Andersonviridae
Description: tRNA-Thr
Rfam family: tRNA
About the family: Transfer RNA (tRNA) molecules are approximately 80 nucleotides in length.
Source: RNAcentral
UGCUGGUGUAGCUCAGUUGGGAGAGCAGUGGUUUUGUAGUCCAAAGGUCAUGGGUUCAAGUCCCUUCACCAGCACCAA